AUGGCGGCGUCGGCGUCGGCGGGUAAAAGUGCUUCUGGCCUCGACGACGGCCGGGCGCACGGCGGCGGCCUCCUUGGGGGCCGUGAGGCGAGAGGGCCAGCCCUUGAGAACCCAGGGGCCCCACGUCUCACCAACGGCGGUGAGCUGCAUGACGCAGGUCCAGAGCAACAUGGUGGUGGCGGCGCGCACCAUCCAGAGCUUCAUCUGCGACCGUGCCACGGACGACGGCGGCGCUGGCGCACGACGUACUCACCCUGCCUUCUCCACAAAUGCUCUCCCUCCACCAGCAGUUCGAGCACUCACGCGGGGCGCGGCAGCCGCCGGCGACCGCGCGGACGGACGACGACGCGUAGGUGGUGUGGAGGCAGAAGUCGGAGUGCGCUGCGCCGCCGUUCACCUUCUCGUCGUCCGCCGCCGCUCUGGAAAGGAAGCGCAUAA
RNAcentral lists this ribosomal RNA (438 nucleotides) under Triticum aestivum (bread wheat). RNAcentral describes it as "partial small subunit ribosomal RNA". The record is from RNAcentral. Lineage: Eukaryota; Viridiplantae; Streptophyta; Magnoliopsida; Poales; Poaceae.